Molecule: long non-coding RNA, 1047 nt
Organism: Sinocyclocheilus grahami
Lineage: Eukaryota; Metazoa; Chordata; Actinopteri; Cypriniformes; Cyprinidae
Product: hemogen
Source: Ensembl
GGCUGUCAGAGCCAUGACCUCCUUUUUUUACUUUCUUCUGUGAGUAUUGUGCCAAGUUCUCCACCUUUGCAAAUAAGAUAAGAGCACAACUGCAAGAACUCUCCCAGCUCUGCGGUAAUGUUUAACCAGAUAAUUAUUCUCUUAGCAGCAGGAAAAGUAAAUGGGCACAAUUUUUUUCAGCCCUGUCAUUUCAAUACUUCAUAUUCAUGUGACAGGACAACAAAAUGGAAGAGACACUGGAGAAAGAGAUCCCGCCAUCUGAAGUAAAAGAUUCUAAUGAAGGUGGAAUUCGGCUGCGAUUGAGAGACAGAGACCUGUUGAAGAAACGAAAGGCUGAGGCAGAGGAAAAGGCAACCAACCAGGCACAAAGUCUUAAAAGAGUGAAAAAGAAGACCAGUGGUACCCCAGGAAGGAAAGGUCGACCAAGAAAAGAACCGCCUGUAGUUAUUCCAGAAGAUCUCGGUCUGGCUCAGGAAACAGAUCCUUUUCCUGUCACACUUCUUAUCACAGAACCUGUAUUACCCACAAUAGCAGAGACACUGCCUUUAUUACCAGCUGAGCCACAACCAGAGCCGGCGCCAGAGGAAACAAUGAGUGAAAAACCUCUGGAGGAGAUUCUGAUUGAGGAUCUGGGGCCUGAUGAGGAGGAAGACAUGCCUCAAAAAAGCCUUAUCAUUGAUACAGGUGAUGACGAGCUGCAAUGUGCUGACCUGAACAGUCCAGUCUCAAUGGCAGUGUAUCCUCCAGCAUCUGCUCCUUCUCAGCCUGAGAGUCUAUCUGAGAAUUUAAUCAUCUGAGUGUCUCCCUUCUACAGAAAAAUGAAUUUAAUCUAAUUUACUAUUUCAAAGGAUUUCUAAACCAAAACAAGGACAAGUCUAUAUUUAUUAAAAUUCUUCAUGUCUCCAUGUAUAUAUACCACUUAUCAGUACUCUGUCAAACAAAAUCCAUUCUAUACAUAUUGUUAAUAAAAUAAAAACCUGAAAUUGUUACAGUAUAGUACUUUUGUGUUCUAUGAUUUUAAAGCAACUAGAUCUUUGCCUUAAGCCU